AUUGAACGCUGGCGGCAUGCCUUACACAUGCAAGUCGAACGGCAGCACGGGUGCUUGCACCUGGUGGCGAGUGGCGAACGGGUGAGUAAUACAUCGGAACGUACCUUAUCGUGGGGGAUAACGCAGCGAAAGCUGUGCUAAUACCGCAUAAGCCCUGAGGGGGAAAGCGGGGGAUCGAAAGACCUCGCGCGAUUAGAGCGGCCGAUGCCUGAUUAGCUUGUUGGUGGGGUAAAAGCCCACCAAGGCGACGAUCAGUAGCUGGUCUGAGAGGACGAUCAGCAACACUGGGACUGAGAAACGGCCCAGACACCUACGGGAGGCAGCAGGGGGGAAUUUUGGACAAUGGGGGCAAACCUGAUCGAGCAAUGCCGCGUGAGUGAAGAAGGCCUUCGGGUUGUAAAGCUCUUUUGUCAGGGAAGAAACACCGGCUCUAACACAGUCCGGGAAUGACGGUAUCUGAAGAAUAAGCACCGGCUAACUACGUGCCAGCCGCCGCAGUAA
Molecule: ribosomal RNA, 501 nt
Filed under: uncultured bacterium
Lineage: Bacteria
Description: partial 16S ribosomal RNA
Rfam family: Bacterial small subunit ribosomal RNA
Source: RNAcentral